Long non-coding RNA from Bombus impatiens (common eastern bumble bee), 1332 nucleotides. RefSeq lists it as uncharacterized. The record is from RefSeq and is a predicted model, not a curated record. The transcript has 2 exons. NCBI's taxonomy places the organism in Eukaryota, Metazoa, Arthropoda, Insecta, Hymenoptera, Apidae.
CGGAACGCGCGUUCUUUUGACGCAUUUCGAAUUUCACGAGGAAAAUUACACAAGCCGUGUACGUUCUUCUUGUACGGUUUCUACCGAUUUCUAUCCAUUCGACGAUACGAAUAUACAUGGAAAUUCAUUUUCCUCGAAGCUUCUCUACCUGGUGUACCUAUCUCUACGGAUACGCGUCGAUUUGACAUAAUCGUAAAAAAUAUGAAUACGAUAAACGAGCCAGCUGUUGACGAAAGUGAACGCCGGAAGUGAACACGAAGAAUACAGCGACCAUACUUGCGACAAAAUUUCUCAAAUUUCUAAAAAAAAAAUUUCUCAAAUCUCGAGUGGAUGAAAUGCUGUUUCACCUUGUGUAUUCGCCUUGGAAAACCUUAGGCAGAACAGAGCAAUAAGCUCGGAAGAAGAAACGAAACUCGGUAUAUGAGUCGCGUAAUUGCAAAAAUCGCGCAACCAAUUGCAGUUGCAGCUGUUCAAAUUCAACUUAUCGCUUCAAAUUCUCACAAACUGCCCUUCUCUAUGCGUCCGAAUAUGUCUAUUGGUUUGGCAACUAAUUGAUUGUGGAUUUUGUCAUUAAGUGGUAGCGACAGAUAGCGUCAGCAGUUCCACUUGAUCAUCGACAGAAACAUGUUGCAAUAUAGAAAAUGUUGCACCGAAGCAGAGACACAUGGUGUCUUAAAAAGUGAUUGGACAAUUUCAAUGGCUAAGUCAGUUGCUUUUAUUGCAAUUUUGUAAGUUCAGGCAGCAAAGAUACUGAAAGGUCUUUAUUUAUGGCGCGGAAAAUGGCCAGUCGCUUUCUUCUCGACCACAAUGCCAAGAGAUGAAUUGAUGCAAAUUCUUCGAUUUGAUAAAGGUUUGAUAAAAGAAGGUUUACGUACAAAAUUCAGCACACGUGUAAAAGAUGCGCGGAAUAUAUAUGAUGACAUAUAAUGUUGGACAUUAUAAAUCCUAUAUAUCAUCGUUUCAUUUAUAAAUCAACAGCGUAUAAUUAUAUUGUCUUCUUUUUUCAAGAAAAUUUAUGAUUUUGUUCAUACGUCAAAUCGACGCGUAGAGAUAGGAAUAUAUAGGAAAUGUGAGUAAACCUAGCGUUGAAGAUCUGUUUCGUGUUCGUUUCAGCGAGACGAUACUAGCGCCAAGACGAAGCUUUUUCGUUUUAAAUUUCUCGCCAAUCGCAUUGUGUUGCGUUGGAGUUUCUCUUUUACGUGAAAAGGCCAAUUACUGACUUCCAUCUCGAGAGGUUCUGUCUCGAGAUAAAGAAAAUUACUUUUCUAUUAUAUCGGCUUCUCUUAUACUUGAAAAGGCAAUCAUUGACUAUCUCAAAAUGAAAAAAAAGAU